GCCCAGACUCCUACGGGAGGCAGCAGUGGGGAAUAUUGCACAAUGGGGGAAACCCUGAUGCAGCGACGCCGCGUGAGCGAUGAAGUAUUUCGGUAUGUAAAGCUCUAUCAGCAGGGAAGAAGAUGAUGGUACCUGACUAAGAAGCCCCGGCUAACUACGUGCCAGCGGCCGCGGUAAUACGUAGGGGGCAAGCGUUAUCCGGAUUUACUGGGUGUAAAGGGAGCGUAGACGGCGAUGCAAGCCAGAUGUGAAAGCCCGGGGCUCAACCCCGGGACUGCAUUUGGAACUGUGUGGCUGGAGUGUCGGAGAGGCAGGCGGAAUUCCUAGGGUAGCGGUGAAAUGCGUAGAUAUCAGGAGGAACACCGGUGGCGAAGGCGGCCUGCUGGACUGCGACUGACGUUGAGGCCCGAAAGCGUGGGGAGCAAACAGGAUUAGAUACCCGAGUAU
Molecule: ribosomal RNA, 447 nt
Filed under: uncultured bacterium
Lineage: Bacteria
Description: bacterial SSU rRNA
Rfam family: Bacterial small subunit ribosomal RNA
Source: RNAcentral